UACUAAUGACUUCCAAUCAUUAAGCCUUGGUUAAACCCCCAAGAGAAAAUA
Molecule: transfer RNA, 51 nt
Filed under: Duttaphrynus melanostictus (Asian common toad)
Lineage: Eukaryota; Metazoa; Chordata; Amphibia; Anura; Bufonidae
Description: partial tRNA-Gly
Source: RNAcentral